Molecule: ribosomal RNA, 462 nt
Filed under: Nocardia otitidiscaviarum
Lineage: Bacteria; Bacillati; Actinomycetota; Actinomycetes; Mycobacteriales; Nocardiaceae
Description: bacterial SSU rRNA
Rfam family: Bacterial small subunit ribosomal RNA
Source: RNAcentral
GGCGGCGUGCUUAACACAUGCAAGUCGAGCGGUAAGGCCCUUCGGGGUACACGAGCGGCGAACGGGUGAGUAACACGUGGGUGAUCUGCCUCGCACUCUGGGAUAAGCCUGGGAAACUGGGUCUAAUACCGGAUACGACCAGGAACUGCAUGGUUCUUGGUGGAAAGGUUUACUGGUGCGAGAUGGGCCCGCGGCCUAUCAGCUUGUUGGUGGGGUAACGGCCUACCAAGGCGACGACGGGUAGCCGACCUGAGAGGGUGACCGGCCACACUGGGACUGAGACACGGCCCAGACUCCUACGGGAGGCAGCAGUGGGGAAUAUUGCACAAUGGGCGAAAGCCUGAUGCAGCGACGCCGCGUGAGGGAUGACGGCCUUCGGGUUGUAAACCUCUUUCGACAGGGAACGAAGCGCAAGUGACGGUACCUGUAGAAGAAGCACCGGCCAACUACGUGCCAGCAGCC